This 423-nucleotide long non-coding RNA is filed under the name Nicotiana benthamiana. RNAcentral's name for it is "long non-coding RNA (NBEN_LNC030420)". Lineage: Eukaryota; Viridiplantae; Streptophyta; Magnoliopsida; Solanales; Solanaceae. The record is from RNAcentral.
GCUGCAUAAUGGUCAACCUGUGAAGAACAAUUGAUGUCUUUCACAGUUAUAAACAUAAAUAAAAGUUACUAAAUGUGUGGUCGAAAUGGAGGCUUGCAUCAGGAGUCUUGUGUGACAAGAAAGUACCACAGAAACUCAAGGGUAAGUUUUAUAGAGCUGUGGUUAGACCUGCCAUGUUGUAUGGGGCGGAGUGCUGGCCGGUGAAGAAAUCUCAUGUUCAGAGAAUGAAGGUUUGUGUGACAAGAAAGUGCCAUAGAAACUCAAGGGGAAGUUCUAUGGAGAUACUGUGGUUAGACCUGCCAUGUACGGGGCGGAGUGCUGGCCGGUGAAGAAAUCUCAUGUUCAGAGAAUGAAGGUUGCGGAGAUGAGAAUGCUCUCGCCAGGUUAGAUAAGAUUAAGAAUGAAGUUAUUAGGGAAAAGGUG